Oryctolagus cuniculus (rabbit) is the source of this 52-nucleotide microRNA precursor. Ensembl annotates it as ocu-mir-374a. Its record names the gene ocu-mir-374a. The record is from Ensembl. Lineage: Eukaryota; Metazoa; Chordata; Mammalia; Lagomorpha; Leporidae.
UUAUAAUACAACCUGAUAAGUGUUACAGCACUUACCAGAUUGUAUUGUAAUU